RNAcentral lists this small RNA (441 nucleotides) under Arabidopsis thaliana (thale cress). RNAcentral describes it as "ATSL077840". The record is from RNAcentral. Lineage: Eukaryota; Viridiplantae; Streptophyta; Magnoliopsida; Brassicales; Brassicaceae.
UCAUUAUUAAUCAAGAUUAGUGGAAGCUCCUUUGGUCCAAUAAUUGACGAAGGGUUCAUUAAUGUUUCUAUACCAAAAAGUAGAGGUUUGAAUUUCAAUUACUGCGAUAUAUUAGCAAAUUUGCAGAUUAAUGGAGGUAAGUAUGCAAGAGAUCUACAACAAAAUACAAUUCUAACCAUUCGUUAAGAUUUUACACAGAGAAGAUAUUGAAAGUGUCCAUCAAUCACAUGAAGAAGAAGAAUAAUGUGUGGUCUAUCGUGAAUCUAAUAAAGAUUAGAAAAAAUUGUUCGUAGUAAAAUCGUCUAUGUAACAAUUUUCAUAAUUUAUAAUAAAUAAUAAAUGUAUAUGGCAAAAAAAAACUGAGAUUAUUGAUUUAAAUUUUUGAUAGGUCGGUUCAAUACUUUUAAGACUGAGCUUCUACUAAUUUCUGGAACCUUAAUU